Molecule: transfer RNA, 72 nt
Filed under: Phrynosoma platyrhinos (Desert horned lizard)
Lineage: Eukaryota; Metazoa; Chordata; Lepidosauria; Squamata; Phrynosomatidae
Description: tRNA-OTHER
Source: RNAcentral
GUCAGCGUGGUGUACUGGUUUGAGCAUUGGACUAGGACUCUGGAGACCAGGGUUCAAAUCCCUGUUUGGCCA